This 2908-nucleotide ribosomal RNA is filed under the name Bacillus cereus. RNAcentral's name for it is "bacterial LSU rRNA". It matches the Rfam family "Bacterial large subunit ribosomal RNA". The record is from RNAcentral. Lineage: Bacteria; Bacillati; Bacillota; Bacilli; Caryophanales; Bacillaceae.
AGGGCGCACGGUGGAUGCCUUGACACUAGGAGUCGAUGAAGGACGGGACUAACGCCGAUAUGCUUCGGGGAGCUGUAAGUAAGCUUUGAUCCGAAGAUUUCCGAAUGGGGAAACCCACCAUACGUAAUGGUAUGGUAUCCUUAUCUGAAUACAUAGGGUAAGGAAGACAGACCCAGGGAACUGAAACAUCUAAGUACCUGGAGGAAGAGAAAGCAAAUGCGAUUUCCUGAGUAGCGGCGAGCGAAACGGAACAUAGCCCAAACCAAGAGGCUUGCCUCUUGGGGUUGUAGGACAUUCUAUACGGAGUUACAAAGGAACGAGGUAGACGAAGCGACCUGGAAAGGUCCGUCGUAGAGGGUAACAACCCCGUAGUCGAAACUUCGUUCUCUCUUGAAUGUAUCCUGAGUACGGCGGAACACGUGAAAUUCCGUCGGAAUCUGGGAGGACCAUCUCCCAAGGCUAAAUACUCCCUAGUGAUCGAUAGUGAACCAGUACCGUGAGGGAAAGGUGAAAAGCACCCCGGAAGGGGAGUGAAAGAGAUCCUGAAACCGUGUGCCUACAAAUAGUCAGAGCCCGUUAACGGGUGAUGGCGUGCCUUUUGUAGAAUGAACCGGCGAGUUACGAUCCCGUGCGAGGUUAAGCUGAAGAGGCGGAGCCGCAGCGAAAGCGAGUCUGAAUAGGGCGUUUAGUACGUGGUCGUAGACCCGAAACCAGGUGAUCUACCCAUGUCCAGGGUGAAGUUCAGGUAACACUGAAUGGAGGCCCGAACCCACGCACGUUGAAAAGUGCGGGGAUGAGGUGUGGGUAGCGGAGAAAUUCCAAUCGAACCUGGAGAUAGCUGGUUCUCCCCGAAAUAGCUUUAGGGCUAGCCUUAAGUGUAAGAGUCUUGGAGGUAGAGCACUGAUUGGACUAGGGGUCCUCAUCGGAUUACCGAAUUCAGUCAAACUCCGAAUGCCAAUGACUUAUCCUUAGGAGUCAGACUGCGAGUGAUAAGAUCCGUAGUCAAAAGGGAAACAGCCCAGACCGCCAGCUAAGGUCCCAAAGUGUGUAUUAAGUGGAAAAGGAUGUGGAGUUGCUUAGACAACUAGGAUGUUGGCUUAGAAGCAGCCACCAUUUAAAGAGUGCGUAAUAGCUCACUAGUCGAGUGACUCUGCGCCGAAAAUGUACCGGGGCUAAAUACACCACCGAAGCUGCGGAUUGAUACCGAAUGGUAUCAGUGGUAGGGGAGCGUUCUAAGGACAGUGAAGUCAGACCGUAAGGACUGGUGGAGUGCUUAGAAGUGAGAAUGCCGGUAUGAGUAGCGAAAGACGGGUGAGAAUCCCGUCCACCGAAUGCCUAAGGUUUCCUGAGGAAGGCUCGUCCGCUCAGGGUUAGUCAGGACCUAAGCCGAGGCCGACAGGCGUAGGCGAUGGACAACAGGUUGAUAUUCCUGUACCACCUCUUUAUCGUUUGAGCAAUGGAGGGACGCAGAAGGAUAGAAGAAGCGUGCGAUUGGUUGUGCACGUCCAAGCAGUUAGGCUGAUAAGUAGGCAAAUCCGCUUAUCAUAAAGGCUGAGCUGUGAUGGGGAAGCUCCUUAUGGAGCGAAGUCUUUGAUUCCCCGCUGCCAAGAAAAGCUUCUAGCGAGAUAAAAGGUGCCUGUACCGCAAACCGACACAGGUAGGCGAGGAGAGAAUCCUAAGGUGUGCGAGAGAACUCUGGUUAAGGAACUCGGCAAAAUGACCCCGUAACUUCGGGAGAAGGGGUGCUUUCUUAACGGAAAGCCGCAGUGAAUAGGCCCAAGCGACUGUUUAGCAAAAACACAGCUCUCUGCGAAGCCGUAAGGCGAAGUAUAGGGGGUGACACCUGCCCGGUGCUGGAAGGUUAAGGAGAGGGGUUAGCGUAAGCGAAGCUCUGAACUGAAGCCCCAGUAAACGGCGGCCGUAACUAUAACGGUCCUAAGGUAGCGAAAUUCCUUGUCGGGUAAGUUCCGACCCGCACGAAAGGUGUAACGAUUUGGGCACUGUCUCAACCAGAGACUCGGUGAAAUUAUAGUACCUGUGAAGAUGCAGGUUACCCGCGACAGGACGGAAAGACCCCGUGGAGCUUUACUGUAGCCUGAUAUUGAAUUUUGGUACAGUUUGUACAGGAUAGGCGGGAGCCAUUGAAACCGGAGCGCUAGCUUCGGUGGAGGCGCUGGUGGGAUACCGCCCUGACUGUAUUGAAAUUCUAACCUACGGGUCUUAUCGACCCGGGAGACAGUGUCAGGUGGGCAGUUUGACUGGGGCGGUCGCCUCCUAAAGUGUAACGGAGGCGCCCAAAGGUUCCCUCAGAAUGGUUGGAAAUCAUUCGUAGAGUGCAAAGGCAUAAGGGAGCUUGACUGCGAGACCUACAAGUCGAGCAGGGACGAAAGUCGGGCUUAGUGAUCCGGUGGUUCCGCAUGGAAGGGCCAUCGCUCAACGGAUAAAAGCUACCCCGGGGAUAACAGGCUUAUCUCCCCCAAGAGUCCACAUCGACGGGGAGGUUUGGCACCUCGAUGUCGGCUCAUCGCAUCCUGGGGCUGUAGUCGGUCCCAAGGGUUGGGCUGUUCGCCCAUUAAAGCGGUACGCGAGCUGGGUUCAGAACGUCGUGAGACAGUUCGGUCCCUAUCCGUCGUGGGCGUAGGAAAUUUGAGAGGAGCUGUCCUUAGUACGAGAGGACCGGGAUGGACGCACCGCUGGUGUACCAGUUGUUCUGCCAAGGGCAUAGCUGGGUAGCUAUGUGCGGAAGGGAUAAGUGCUGAAAGCAUCUAAGCAUGAAGCCCCCCUCAAGAUGAGAUUUCCCAUAGCGUAAGCUAGUAAGAUCCCUGAAAGAUGAUCAGGUUGAUAGGUUCGAGGUGGAAGCAUGGUGACAUGUGGAGCUGACGAAUACUAAUAGAUCGAGGACUUAACC